RNAcentral lists this ribosomal RNA (497 nucleotides) under uncultured bacterium. Its description in RNAcentral is "partial 16S ribosomal RNA". It matches the Rfam family "Bacterial small subunit ribosomal RNA", at positions 28 to 507 of the family's 1533-position model. The record is from RNAcentral.
GAUGAACGCUGGCGGCGUGCCUAAUACAUGCAAGUCGAGCGAACAGACGAGGAGCUUGCUCCUUUGACGUUAGCGGCGGACGGGUGAGUAACACGUGGGUAACCUACCUAUAAGACUGGGAUAACUUCGGGAAACCGGAGCUAAUACCGGAUAAUAUUUCGAACCGCAUGGUUCGAUAGUGAAAGAUGGCUUUGCUAUCACUUAUAGAUGGACCUGCGCCGUAUUAGCUAGUUGGUAAGGUAACGGCUUACCAAGGCAACGAUACGUAGCCGACCUGAGAGGGUGAUCGGCCACACUGGAACUGAGACACGGCCCAGACUCCUACGGGAGGCAGCAGUAGGGAAUCUUCCGCAAUGGGCGAAAGCCUGACGGAGCAACGCCGCGUGAGUGAUGAAGGUCUUCGGAUCGUAAAACUCUGUUAUUAGGGAAGAACAAACGUGUAAGUAACUGUGCACGUCUUGACGGUACCUAAUCAGAAAGCCACGGCUAACUACGUG